GAUGAAGAACGUAGUAAAAUGCGAUAAGUAAUGUGAAUUGCAGAAUUCAGUGAAUCAUCGAAUCUUUGAACGCACAUUGCGCCCGCCAGUAUUCUGGCGGGCAUGCCUGUUCGAGCGUCAUUUCAACCCUCAAGCACAGCUUGGUGUUGGGACUCGCGUUAAUUCGCGUUCCUCAAAUUGAUUGGCGGUCACGUCGAGCUUCCAUAGCGUAGUAGUAAAACCCUCGUUACUGGUAAUCGUCGCGGCCACGCCGUUAAACCCCAACUUCUGAAUGUUGACCUCGGAUCAGGUAGGAAUACCCGCUGAACUUAAGCAUAUCAAUAAGCGGAGGA
Molecule: unclassified non-coding RNA, 332 nt
Filed under: soil metagenome
Description: partial contains 5.8S ribosomal RNA, internal transcribed spacer 2, and large subunit ribosomal RNA
Rfam family: 5.8S ribosomal RNA (bases 1-120)
Source: RNAcentral